CGUGUAGGUGGUUUGGUAAGUAGGGCGUGAAAGCUCCUGGCUCAACUGGGAGAGGCCGUUCUAAACUGCCGAACUAGAGGAUGGUAGAGGGAGGUGGAAUUCCGGGUGUAGCGGUGGAAUGCGCAGAUAUCCGGAGGAACACCAGUGGCGAAAGCGGCCUCCUGGACCAUUCCUGACACUCAGACGCGAAAGCUAGGGUAGCAAACG
RNAcentral lists this ribosomal RNA (207 nucleotides) under uncultured bacterium. Its description in RNAcentral is "partial 16S ribosomal RNA". It matches the Rfam family "Bacterial small subunit ribosomal RNA", at positions 568 to 774 of the family's 1533-position model. The record is from RNAcentral. RNAcentral also lists the same sequence under 1 other name.